GGGUACAGAGCUGAAGAUGAUUACGAUUACCUCUUCAAGGUGGUGCUGAUCGGUGACUCUGGUGUGGGCAAGUCAAAUCUGCUCUCCAGGUUCACUCGGAACGAAUUUAGCUUGGAAUCUAAGUCCACUAUUGGAGUCGAGUUCGCUACUCGCAGCUUGAACGUCGAUGGCAAAGUCAUCAAGGCCCAGAUUUGGGAUACUGCUGGCCAAGAGAGGUACCGUGCCAUAACUAGUGCUUACUACAGAGGAGCAGUGGGUGCACUACUUGUGUAUGAUGUCACACGACACUCAACAUUUGAAAAUGUUGAAAGGUGGCUAAGGGAAUUGAGGGACCAUACUGAUCCCAAUAUUGUGGUCAUGCUCAUUGGUAAUAAAUCAGAUCUUCGCCACCUUGUUGCCGUCUCAACUGAAGAUGGGAAAUCCUUUGCAGAGAGAGAGUCCCUCUACUUCAUGGAAACUUCUGCUCUGGAAGCAACUAAUGUGGACAAUGCAUUUGCUGAAGUGCUUACUCAGAUCUACCGUAUUGUAAGCAAGAAGGCUAUGGAGACUGGUGAUGAAGGUGCCGCUUCAACUGUUCCAUCGAAAGGAGAGAAAAUCGACGUUAGUAAAGAUGUUUCUGCUAUGAAGAGAGUAGGGUGCUGCUCAAGCUAGGAGUUUAGUCUGAAUUCAAUUGUUACAUAGGAUGGCGCUGGUUUGUUUUUGCUCCAUCUGUUUUAAUGUACACCAUUAUUAUGUAAAAUUUUCUCAAAGAUUCCCACAGUAGGAGAGAUGGGGAUUGAUUUUUACUUUGAUUUUCUUCAGAGCCUUUCGUUCGACUGUUAUUUCUAGCUGACUGAGAGCUUAAUUAGGAACAAGGUAUUACGCUGCUGCUUUUAAAAUGGUUCUGAGUGAAGUUCGAACCUGCUGCG
RNAcentral lists this unclassified non-coding RNA (908 nucleotides) under Hevea brasiliensis (rubber tree). Lineage: Eukaryota; Viridiplantae; Streptophyta; Magnoliopsida; Malpighiales; Euphorbiaceae. The record is from RNAcentral.